This 95-nucleotide transfer RNA is filed under the name Klebsiella pneumoniae. Its description in RNAcentral is "tRNA-OTHER". It matches the Rfam family "tRNA". From Rfam's summary of the family: Transfer RNA (tRNA) molecules are approximately 80 nucleotides in length. Their secondary structure includes four short double-helical elements and three loops (D, anti-codon, and T loops). The record is from RNAcentral. Lineage: Bacteria; Pseudomonadati; Pseudomonadota; Gammaproteobacteria; Enterobacterales; Enterobacteriaceae.
GGUGAGGUGGCCGAGAGGCUGAAGGCGCUCCCUCGGCUAAGGGAGUAUGCGGUCAAAAGCUGACAUCCGGGGUUCGAAUCCCCGCCUCACCGCCA